ACCACACUUCGCUUCGUCAGCAGACCGUUUGGGACAAGAAAAAAAAUUCACCAUGGCUAAUAUGAUUGUGGCGAUCGUCCUUGCGUUGGGUCUGGUGCUGGGUGCCUCUGCACAGUACGAAAGCCACGCCAGAAUCCCAGAACCGCGGAUUAAUCGUGCCGUGACGGAGACAGUGACGAGGACGG
Molecule: long non-coding RNA, 185 nt
Organism: Penaeus indicus
Lineage: Eukaryota; Metazoa; Arthropoda; Malacostraca; Decapoda; Penaeidae
Exons: 3
Source: RefSeq, a predicted model, not a curated record